This 74-nucleotide transfer RNA is filed under the name Planctopirus hydrillae. RNAcentral describes it as "tRNA-Leu". It matches the Rfam family "tRNA". Rfam says of the family: Transfer RNA (tRNA) molecules are approximately 80 nucleotides in length. Lineage: Bacteria; Pseudomonadati; Planctomycetota; Planctomycetia; Planctomycetales; Planctomycetaceae. The record is from RNAcentral.
GGUGCUAUGCGCAAAUUGGAAUAGCGACUGAGCUCAAACCUCAGUGAUUGUGGGUUCGAAUCCCCCUGGCACCA